Molecule: long non-coding RNA, 443 nt
Organism: Lynx canadensis (Canada lynx)
Lineage: Eukaryota; Metazoa; Chordata; Mammalia; Carnivora; Felidae
Exons: 5
Source: RefSeq, a predicted model, not a curated record
GACAGCCUCAGAGCUGGUGGAAAGGCAGAGCGCAGGCAGCUGGAUAAAUUUGUAGACGUGGAAUUUCCGGAUCAAAUGGUGCUCGGAGAAUUAAAGCUGUCUGGACUCAGUUCCUGGAGUUUUCUAGAAUGGUAUAAGAAGGAAAUGUAAGAGCUGUGAGAGGAGCAGAAAUAAAUAACGCUCGCUGGCCUGUUGCUGGCAGUAGUCUGAUCUAGGGAUUUAAAGGAGGUAGACCGCAACCGUCUCUUGUAGGAGGAGAUUGGAUCAUUGAGAGAGCCCUUGGAAGAGGGGAAGAGGGCUGCAUGCCCAGUGCAUAUUUGCCAUCUAGUGACCAUAGUGACUGGUGCUAUUUGUGCUUCUCAUCCCAGCCAGGCAGACUUGACCUUCACUCCUGACUUCGUGAUCCCUUCACAACUGCAAGUCAUUUUCCUACAAAACUGGAG